Long non-coding RNA from Schistocerca serialis cubense, 385 nucleotides. RefSeq lists it as uncharacterized. Lineage: Eukaryota; Metazoa; Arthropoda; Insecta; Orthoptera; Acrididae. The transcript has 4 exons. The record is from RefSeq and is a predicted model, not a curated record.
UGUAGUGCAGUAAGGAGAAGAUCUGUCCAAGGUGUCUCGCUUUCAGGAGCGACGAUCCGAGGCGGCUCUAUCUCUCCGGGAGGACGGCUGCCUCGCAUACGUUUCCAUGCUUCUUGGAAAGCUAUGUCACGACAACGUAUAGUAGCAGCUGGCUGUCAUGGAUUAAACGUGAUUCAGUUUCUGCAAGCUGUUGAAAAGAGAGCAGUCGUUUCCCCAAAAUAUUAUGCUGAAAUUCUACAACCACGGCAACUCUCUGCAAAAAGAAAAAAAAAGAUAUGUCGCCCCACACGACCGACAGAGGGCAGGCGGACCAGACGCAUGGGCUGUCCCCAAGACCUCGCGACGCCUCGAUGGUGGUGAUCACUCAGCAAGUCGUCGGCUCCAG